This 266-nucleotide small RNA is filed under the name Echinops telfairi (small Madagascar hedgehog). Its description in RNAcentral is "7SK RNA (ENSETEG00000024327.1)". It matches the Rfam family "7SK RNA", at positions 1 to 259 of the family's 331-position model. From Rfam's summary of the family: 7SK was discovered as an abundant small nuclear RNA in the mid-70s but a possible function has only recently been suggested. Two independent studies have found that 7SK RNA binds the CDK9/cyclin T complex (known as elongation factor P-TEFb). Lineage: Eukaryota; Metazoa; Chordata; Mammalia; Afrosoricida; Tenrecidae. The record is from RNAcentral.
GGAUGUGCGGGUGAUCUGCCUGUGACAUCUCUCACCCCAUUGGUCACCAGGGUAGAUUCAGUUGAUUUGGCUGGCUAGGCAUUUGUCCCCUUACCCCCUCACUGGGCAUGUGCAUCCCUCCUGAAGCCUCAUACUCCAACCUUCCCUGAUAGAAGGAGGACUGUUCUUUGGUCAAGGGUGUACUAUAGCUGCCCUCCCUUGCUAGAACCUCCAAUCAAGCUCUAUUUCUCUCUUCAGUUCUGAGUUUGCUUAAAUUUUUUCAACGG